CUGAAGCCCAUUAAAGUUAAACAAGGUGCUCAAAGUCACCCAGCUGAGGAGGACUUAGCCCUAGUCUGUCUGGUCCAAAGUCCCUGCGUUUCCUGUGACAGCCUCCCCUCACGGUGCCGGUGACGCUGCUGGUAUAACAGGGCCUCAGAGAUGGGACGGCUCAGGAGAGAAACAGAAGCUGUGGAAGUUUCCAGGUGAUGGGGUGACUUGGAGUGGGGUGAGGAGGCAGCCCAGUGCACAGCUGGAUCAGAUUCCAUCCGACCCGUGGGAACCUACCAACAUUGGCUGGUGUGAUGAGGGCUGCUCUCAGGCACGAAAUCACAGCUCCAACCGUAUCAGAAGGAACACAAAGUCCGGCCUUUCAGAUGGGGCAUUCCCAGGAGGCAAGGUGCCAACAACCCUGCUUCACGGAGCUCUGGC
Molecule: long non-coding RNA, 420 nt
Filed under: Equus caballus (horse)
Lineage: Eukaryota; Metazoa; Chordata; Mammalia; Perissodactyla; Equidae
Description: lncRNA (ENSECAG00000039001.3)
Source: RNAcentral